AUGAACGCUGGCGGCGUGCCUAAUACAUGCCAGUCGAGCGAACAGACGAGGAGCUUGCUCCUCUGACGUUAGCGGCGGACGGGUGAGUAACACGUGGAUAACCUACCUAUAAGACUGGGAUAACUUCGGGAAACCGGGGCUAAUACCGGAUAAUAUAUUGAACCGCAUGGUUCAAUAGUGAAAGACGGUUUUGCUGUCACUUAUAGAUGGAUCCGCGCCGCAUUAGCUAGUUGGUAAGGUAACGGCUUACCAAGGCAACGAUGCGUAGCCGACCUGAGAGGGUGAUCGGCCACACUGGAACUGAGACACGGUCCAGACUCCUACGGGAGGCAGCAGUAGGGAAUCUUCCGCAAUGGGCGAAAGCCUGACGGAGCAACGCCGCGUGAGUGAUGAAGGUCUUCGGAUCGUAAAACUCUGUUAUUAGGGAAGAACAAAUGUGUAAGUAACUAUGCACGUCUUGACGGUACCUAAUCAGAAAGCCACGGCUAACUACGUG
Molecule: ribosomal RNA, 496 nt
Filed under: uncultured bacterium
Lineage: Bacteria
Description: partial 16S ribosomal RNA
Rfam family: Bacterial small subunit ribosomal RNA
Source: RNAcentral